Long non-coding RNA from Asparagus officinalis (garden asparagus), 506 nucleotides. RefSeq lists it as uncharacterized. The transcript is spliced from 3 exons. The record is from RefSeq and is a predicted model, not a curated record. NCBI's taxonomy places the organism in Eukaryota, Viridiplantae, Streptophyta, Magnoliopsida, Asparagales, Asparagaceae.
UCCCAAAAAAUAAACCCCUUCUAUCUCACCUCCCUCUCCGAUCUCUCAUCGUCACCUCCGCAAGUCGAUCUCACGUCAUCACCUCUACAGAUGCUCUCCCUGUAAUUAAACCCCUCUGAUCUCACGUCGUCAUCUCUGCAGAUUUCUCUCUCUUGUAACCUCCGCUCUCCCUCUAAUUAACCCCCCCGAUCUCACCUCAUCGCCUCCGCGCGAUCAGCCCCAAAAAACUUCGGCCGCUCUCAAAAACUAGAUUGACCCCUGAUCCUCUGCUUGACCUAACAAAGCUCCGCUCUAAAAGUGUUAAUUGAUCUCUGAUCACGCCUCAAGACCACUGCUUUCCAGAUCUUUGGGCGUCUAUCCAAUCGAGUCGUGCAAUAUCGUGGUUGCGUGUCUUCCCCUUUCCGAUUUCUGGCAAUUGCAUGCGCUGAUCACCUCACUCCACAAAGCUUAGCUUUAAUUUAUAGACACUGGACAAUUUCAAAGGCUACGAGACUUGAAGCAAUCAG